This 424-nucleotide ribosomal RNA is filed under the name uncultured bacterium. Its description in RNAcentral is "bacterial SSU rRNA". It matches the Rfam family "Bacterial small subunit ribosomal RNA", at positions 355 to 766 of the family's 1533-position model. The record is from RNAcentral.
UGGGGAAUCUUGGACAAUGGGCGCAAGCCUGAUCCAGCAACGCCGCGUGGAGGACGAAGGCCUUCGGGUCGUAAACUCCUGUCAGUAGGGACGAAAAAAGCAGGGUCGAACAGGCCCUUGCCAUUGACGGUACCUGCAGAGGAAGCCCCGGCUAACUCCGUGCCAGCAGCCGCGGUAAUACGGAGGGGGCUAGCGUUAUUCGGAAUUACUGGGCGUAAAGGGCGUGUAGGCGGCUUGAUAGGUCAAAAGGUGAAAUCCCCUCGGCUCAACCGAGGAACUGCCUUUGAAACCAUCUGGCUCGAGGCUGGGAGGGGGUAGCGGAAUUCCUGGGUGUAGCGGUGAAAUGCGUAGAUAUCAGGAGGAACACCAGUGGCGAAGGCGGCUACCUGGACCAGUUCUGACGCUGAGGCGCGAAAGCGUGGGG